Molecule: transfer RNA, 45 nt
Filed under: Apis cerana (Asiatic honeybee)
Lineage: Eukaryota; Metazoa; Arthropoda; Insecta; Hymenoptera; Apidae
Description: partial tRNA-Leu
Source: RNAcentral
AAUUUAAGAUUCAAAUAUAAAGUUUUUAAUUUACUUUUAUUAAAA